This is a non-coding RNA of Pelobates cultripes (western spadefoot toad), 565 nucleotides long. The record is from the annotation of a GenBank genome assembly. Lineage: Eukaryota; Metazoa; Chordata; Amphibia; Anura; Pelobatidae.
CAAAGAGGGGGUGUGAGUUAGGUCAUCUCGACCUUCAUAUGGAAAAUGCUUCCUCCUUGUUCACUUUUGGUCAAACUGUUGGUCUGUGACUGGCCCUCUUUGACCCCAACUGAAUUUCUUGGGAAGAUUCAUGAGAAAGAUACGGCAGGUUGUUUUGAUAUAAAGAAAGAGGGAAAAGUAUGUUGUAUCGGUCACAAAAGGAUUGUGAUCUUAAGCAGGCGAGACAAAGAAAUUUUGGAGGUGAUAGGAGAUUGAAUCAGAAAAGUUUUAGAGGCAGAGGUAGAGAAUUUGAUCAAAGGAUCUAACUUUUGUAGAGGUGGUAACUUCAGCACUGUUUUAAUUGUGGAUAGCAGGGAUUCACCCCAAGGUGCUUGUGGUGAACCCGGUUCUCCUGGUCAACCUGGCCCAGCUGGCAUUCAAGGACUCCCAACUUUCAAGCUAUACCCACACCCAACAACCUCAGCCUAAUACACAGAUGGUUCAUGUUUUUAAUACUUUAUAUAUAGUUUUGAUAGAUAAAACAGUAUUAAUGCUGGCUCUUAGAGGAUGUACAAGCUGAAGUUGG